Molecule: transfer RNA, 40 nt
Filed under: Plethodon cinereus (red-backed salamander)
Lineage: Eukaryota; Metazoa; Chordata; Amphibia; Caudata; Plethodontidae
Description: partial tRNA-Trp
Source: RNAcentral
AGAAAUUUAAGUUAACAGACUAAAGGUCUCAAAGCCCAAA